GAGAGAGAGAGAGAGAGGUCACCCUUGUAUGAGGAGUCUACUGCCAUGGUAACAGCCUAGAUCCACUCUGAGGACAGAGCCCUGUGGCUAAUGUCCUCUCCUUGGGCCGCCUUUCACAACAUCCAGGACUGCUUCCAACACAGGCUCACAUGCUUUUUGGAGGACACAUUCCAGCCCCAGUGAUUGGCACCCAGAAUCUUCAUACUCAACAACAUUAUUGCAACAGACACAGUAAGGACUUUUCAGGGAGCUUUCUAAUAAUGUACCAGAGAAGACGUGGUGCUGUUGAGGCAUUGUGAUGGCUGUGUGAGAGGAUGCAGGAAGGUAGGCGUGCUUCACAAGGUCACCUUCUCAUUAAGGCGUCCAUGUGGUUGGAUUUGUGUUGCAGAAGCUCUCUGGAAGUGGAGUGUAGCAUGCGCUAGAGCUGGUAGCACUGACCGUGGCUAGGAUUUGACUGGUGGGUUGCAGGUGGGGUCCUAGCAAGCACCAGUAGGGAAAGGGAGUGAGCCAGCGAGCAGAGAGAGGUGGGAUGUCAACACAGGAUGUCAACCAGGAGCAGGUUGCCUUUGUGGGCCACUGGGGCUCAAGUCCCUCGGGGGACUCUGGGACCCCAGGGAACAUGCUCCAGAUGAUCUGGGAGGAAGCUUCGGGAUGGAGUGGUGGAGGGCCACCCCUGGAGCAGCUCCUGCAGCACAGAUGGCGUCAGCAGACACUCUCACCAUGUUGAACAGGAGCGCUGAACAGGAACAAGGACCUCUCAGGGCUGUGGCUUGUCUUGGUCUCCCCCUGCACUUCCACAGGUCUCAGGAAACUCUUGUCAACCUGCGAAAGAUGCCGAAAGUCCAUCAGCCUAAUCCAUGUGGCUUGCUGUCAAUUUCCUAAUUCUCUGCGGGCUCCAUGAUGGCCAGCGACCCAGAUGGCUAGUGCAGGAAGAGCCAGACCAUCCACUCAAGGCGUAUUUUGCUUCCACUUCCAAAAGAAAGCAGCCCCUCAUUACCACUAUUGAUUCCGUGAACAUGUCACUGAUGGUGACUACCUUCCUGACAAUCUGCCUAAUGAAUCCUGGAGGGAAACGACAAGCUUGUCAUUAACCUUUAGAACAAGCGAUGAUGUUAGAAUCAAAAUGGACCGUUUAUAAAAACUGCCUGUCUGUG
Molecule: non-coding RNA, 1154 nt
Organism: Ictidomys tridecemlineatus (thirteen-lined ground squirrel)
Lineage: Eukaryota; Metazoa; Chordata; Mammalia; Rodentia; Sciuridae
Source: RefSeq, a predicted model, not a curated record